GACGAACGCUGGCGGCGUGCUUAACACAUGCAAGUCGAACGGAAAGGCCCUGCUUUUGUGGGGUGCUCGAGUGGCGAACGGGUGAGUAACACGUGAGUAACCUGCCCUUGACUUUGGGAUAACUUCAGGAAACUGGGGCUAAUACCGGAUAGGAGCUCCUGCUGCAUGGUGGGGGUUGGAAAGUUUCGGCGGUUGGGGAUGGACUCGCGGCUUAUCAGCUUGUUGGUGGGGUAGUGGCUUACCAAGGCUUUGACGGGUAGCCGGCCUGAGAGGGUGACCGGCCACGUUGGGACUGAGAUACGGCACAGACUCCACCGGGAGGCAACAGUGGGGAAUAUUGCACUAUGGACGGAAGCCUGCUGCAGCAACGCCGCGUGCGGGAUGACGGCCUUCGGGUUGUAAACCGCUUUCGCCUGUGACGAAGCGUGAGUGACGGUAAUGGGUAAAGAAGCACCGGCUAACUACGUG
RNAcentral lists this ribosomal RNA (468 nucleotides) under uncultured bacterium. RNAcentral describes it as "partial 16S ribosomal RNA". It matches the Rfam family "Bacterial small subunit ribosomal RNA", at positions 28 to 507 of the family's 1533-position model. The record is from RNAcentral.